RNAcentral lists this unclassified non-coding RNA (252 nucleotides) under fungal sp. Its description in RNAcentral is "partial contains small subunit ribosomal RNA, internal transcribed spacer 1, and 5.8S ribosomal RNA". The stretch from base 1 to 46 matches the Rfam family "Eukaryotic small subunit ribosomal RNA", at positions 1786 to 1831 of the family's 1831-position model. The record is from RNAcentral. Lineage: Eukaryota; Fungi.
AAGUCGUAACAAGGUUUCCGUAGGUGAACCUGCGGAAGGAUCAUUACCGAGUUAGGGUCUUAUAGGCCCGAUCUCCAACCCUUUGUUUACUAUACCAUGUUGCUUUGGCGGGCCCGCCUUUCGAGGCCGCCGGGGGCUUUCAUACCCUUGGUCAGUGCCUGCCAGUAGCCUUCUUAAAUUCUUUUUAUAAUUAUGUUGUCUGAGUAUAAAUAUAAAUCGUUAAAACUUUCAACAACGGAUCUCUUGGUUCUG